ACCCAGACUCCUACGGGAGGCAGCAGUGGGGAAUAUUGCACAAUGGGGGGAACCCUGAUGCAGCGACGCCGCGUGGGUGAAGGAGCACCUCGGUGCGUAAAGCCCUAUCGGCAGGGAAGAAAAGCGAACAGGUUCGCCUGGACGGUACCUGACUAAGAAGCCCCGGCUAACUACGUGCCAGCAGCCGCGGUAAUACGUAGGGGGCAAGCGUUAUCCGGAUUCACUGGGUGUAAAGGGAGCGUAGGCGGCGCUUCAGGUCAGCGGUGAAAUACCGGGGCUCAACCCCGGGGCUGCCGUUGAAAUCGGAGCGCUAGAAUUCCGAUGCCGUCGGAGGAAUGUGUGGUGUAGCGGUGAAAUGCAUAGAUAUCACACAGAACACCGAUUGCGAAGGCAUCUGACGAAUCGGAGAUUGACGCUGAUGCACGAAAGCGUGGGUAUCGAACAGGAUUAGAUACCCCAGUA
Molecule: ribosomal RNA, 462 nt
Filed under: uncultured bacterium
Lineage: Bacteria
Description: bacterial SSU rRNA
Rfam family: Bacterial small subunit ribosomal RNA
Source: RNAcentral